UAGACACUUCCUGACCUUUACGUCUGAUACAUUCUUUGAGAGAACUUCUCUACCGACCCUGUCACCUAGAUUGGAUCACCGACCUCUCCCAAGAGGGUCCUGGCUUCCUCACUGGGGAAAUGAAGGAAACUAGGGUGUGACAAAUAAAGGAAGCCUUUUCAUGCUCUAUGUCCACUGGCGUCGGGCAAGCCCUGGUGGAAGUCCAAGGAAAAGAGUCUAAGACCCAAAAAGAUGGUUUGAGCCAAAGUUCUAAAGUGUAUCAGACGUGAAUAAAGGUCUUCGAUUCCCUGCCCCUGUCUCCUCCCUGCCCGAGGACCAAGCUUCAGAAGAACUGCACACGGGAGGAAAUACCAACCGUUUAACUUCUUCAGAGACAACCUCCAGCCCGGCUCACCACCAUGCUAGCUAAAAAAGGGCCCUCUCCCAGGGAAGGUCCCGGAGGAAGAAUGGGAAUUCACCCUACCCUUGGGGGAGGAGUGCUUUCUCUACCCUUAAUUUAUGAACUGAGAAAAAUCCUAACAAGCCUACUAUGAAAUAAAGAUGCCCUUAACCCAUUUAUGCCUAGUGUUCCGUUAUUGGAACGCUAAGCUUGUGGGAAUUAUUUAUAUCCUACUGCUCAAAACCAUUGCCAAGGUCUGAUUUUUCACACAAAAAAAUUUGCAACCUUCGGUAUAAAUGGGUUAAUUCCAAAGCCUAAAGCAACCUAAGACAUCUCAGCCCACAGUGAACCCAGCCUCCAGCUGCAGGUGUUGGCUUCCACGCAGCGCAGGACCAAGCAGUUUCGUGCUGAGUCCAUCUCUGUGGCCACUGGCCACCCGGUGUUGGGGCUGGUCCUCAGCACAUCUGCACAGGGGUAAACACGCCGUUGGUGGAAGGGGCCAGAGGCGGCCUGGGCUCUGAAUUCCACCCAGACCUGGGGAAUGGACCUGGUAGGGGAGCGAAUGCCAGGGCUGAUGGUGGCCUUGGCUCUUCUGCACGGCAGCAACUGUGGUGGCCUGAGAGUAAAGAGGUACCAUAAGGACGCAGAAGUAGAUCACCAGAGCUGCAUCCACACCCAGAGAUAGACGCACACAUCUGUGGUGUGUUCAUUUCAACAAAGAUGCAGAGAUAAUUCCAUGGAGGAAAAACUAGCCUUUCAACAAAUGGUGCUAGAACGAUUGGAUAUCUUACGCGAAAAAUUAACUUUUAUCUGUAUCUCAUAUUAUGUAAAAAUGGGACCAAACUAGAUUAUAAACAUAAUGUAGAAUAUAAAAGUAGAAAUUAUGGUAAAAAUCAUAGGAAAAAAAUCUGUGCGACCUUAGUUAGGCAAAGACAUUUUAAAUUUGACAGCAAAAGUACAAUCCAUAAAAGAAAAGAAACUGAUAAAUUGGACAUACUCAAAGUGAAGCACAUAUGCUAGUCAGAAGACACUACUGUUAAGAGAAUAAAAAAUAUAAGCCACAGAUCUGGAGAAAACAUUUGCAAACCAUAUAUCUGAAAAAAAUGGCUUGUACUUCACAUCUAAAAAGACUCAAAAGUCAAUAAUAGGAAAAAAGAGACAAUUUAAAAUGGGCAAAAUAGUUAAAAAGACAGAUCAGCCAAGAAGAUAUAUGGAUGAAAAUUAAACACAUUAAAUACAUCCGAUGUCAAUAACCCUGCUCCCUACCGGUUAGACAGCUGACGUCAGAAAAGCCGGCCCCACCGCACAUGCGUGAGCACAAGUGGGCAGGAACAGGAAAUGCCACGAGGACGCUGAAUCAAACCUGCCUACGUGAAGGGCUGAAGACGUGACAUUUCCUGACAGACGUCGCCAUGUCUAGCAGCAUGAGCCUCUCCAUGAAGGCAUGAGGGGAGAAGACCUCUUCUCUACCUUGUCCCAGGUCCUCCAGGACGGGCGUCUCCUUUGAGAAGCAGGACUGCUUUUAUAAGUCUUAGGUCCAGUGGAAGCUGCUUCGGAGCCAUGGAGAAAAGGCAGCCUGCGCCGAUUGACCAUGAGCCUGAGUACACUGCAUGAACCUUUGGAAGUACCUUUCCUAUGUCUGCCUGAAGUAAGAUAAAGUUGAAAAUUUGGGGGUAAAUACUUUGUAUAAUGGCGAACC
Long non-coding RNA from Symphalangus syndactylus (siamang), 2078 nucleotides. RefSeq lists it as uncharacterized. NCBI's taxonomy places the organism in Eukaryota, Metazoa, Chordata, Mammalia, Primates, Hylobatidae. The record is from RefSeq and is a predicted model, not a curated record.